GGGAGGCAGCAGGUGGGGAAUCUUAGACAAUGGGCGCAAGCCUGAUCUAGCGAUGCCGCGUGAGUGACGAAGGCCUUAGGGUCGUAAAGCUCUUUCGCCAGGGAUGAUAAUGACAGUACCUGGUAAAGAAACCCCGGCUAACUCCGUGCCAGCAGCCGCGGUAAUACGGAGGGGGUUAGCGUUGUUCGGAAUUACUGGGCGUAAAGCGCACGUAGGCGGACUUUUAAGUUAGAGGUGAAAUCCCAGGGCUCAACCCUGGAACUGCCUUUAAUACUGGAAGUCUUGAGUUCGAGAGAGGUGAGUGGAAUUCCGAGUGUAGAGGUGAAAUUCGUAGAUAUUCGGAGGAACACCAGUGGCGAAGGCGGCUCACUGGCUCGAUACUGACGCUGAGGUGCGAAAGCAUGGGGAGCAAACAGGAUUAGAUACCCUGGUAGUCCAUGCCGUAAACGAUGAAUGCCAGACGUCGGGGGGCUUGCCCUUCGGUGUCACACCUAACGGAUUAAGCAUUCCGCCUGGGGAGUACGGUCGCAAGAUUAAAACUCAAA
RNAcentral lists this ribosomal RNA (545 nucleotides) under uncultured bacterium. RNAcentral's name for it is "bacterial SSU rRNA". It matches the Rfam family "Bacterial small subunit ribosomal RNA", at positions 343 to 905 of the family's 1533-position model. The record is from RNAcentral.